Molecule: ribosomal RNA, 465 nt
Filed under: uncultured bacterium
Lineage: Bacteria
Description: partial 16S ribosomal RNA
Rfam family: Bacterial small subunit ribosomal RNA
Source: RNAcentral
ACGAACGCUGGCGGCGUGCUUAACACCUGCAAGUCGCACGGAAAGGCCCUGCUUUUGUGGGGUGCUCGAGUGGCGAACGGGUGAGUAACACGUGAGUAACCUGCCCUUGACUUUGGGAUAACUUCAGGAAACUGGGGCUAAUACCGGAUAGGAGCUCCUGCUGCAUGGUGGGGGUUGGAAAGUUUCGGCGGUUGGGGAUGGACUCGCGGCUUAUCAGCUUGUUGGUGGGGUAGUGGCUUACCAAGGCUUUGACGGGUAGCCGGCCUGAGAGGGUGACCGGCCACAUUGGGACUGAGAUACGGCCCAGACUCCUACGGGAGGCAGCAGUGGGGAAUAUUGCACAAUGGGCGGAAGCCUGAUGCAGCAACGCCGCGUGCGGGAUGACGGCCUUCGGGUUGUAAACCGCUUUCGCCUGUGACGAAGCGUGAGUGACGGUAAUGGGUAAAGAAGCACCGGCUAACUACG